UAUAUACACACACAAAGCAUAUUUCUCAACUUUAUCAUUUCCUUUCCUAACCUUCAUUUUGUGGCAUACUGCCUUUUCUGAUAAACACUAGUUUUAGAGUAUUGGGUUGUUUUUUUUUUAACUGAACCUAACGUCAGUCCAGAAAAAAAAAAAACUUUUCUCUAAUCUAGACCUUUCCCACCUUUCAGGAAUUUUCUUCUUCUCCUCUAAAGCAAAAUGUUUGCAUUUCCCAGGUGGUACGCACUGUUGAUCUACAAGCCGGUGCUCAUGCCUGUGGUCCCAUGUGCCCCGAUGCUGUCCCACCCUGGGGGGUUGAAAGACUCAGUUCACCUCAUCCAACAGCACAUAUAACCUGCCUUCCACCACUUCUGCACUUGGCCAGGCCGUUCCACUGAGAUUUUGGGAGGCACCUUUUCUAUGCUACUGUAACAACCCAUGUGUGCAUGAAGAUGCAAGUGGUGUAAAACAUGUUAAAGAACCCUUAACAUGAGACAGACUCUCUUCACAAAUUUCAAGUGCACAGUUGGGUCUUGUUAACUUUAGACAUUAGGAUGUACAGCAUAUCUUUAGAAAAUGCUCAGCUUGUACAAUUGAAACUUUAUGCCAAGUUGUGUACAUUAAAUGUGUGUAGUUUUUUAUCAAUCAGACCUCAAUAAAGCUAUUAUAAUAUGGUUUAUUACAGUUAAUCAUACCUAUUAUAUAUGUGUACCCACACAUAUAAUAGUACAUUUAACACACUGUAUUUUGCCCACAUGUGUACAUAUCUAUAUGAAGUAGCAGAUCCUUGAGGAGAGAAACUGGUGCUUCAUUUACUAUUUUAUCCCUAAUACCAGGAAGACUAUCUGACCGAGAAGGCUUGCCUGAUGUUUGUGGACUACUCAACUGGGACCGAUUGCUUGGAGUCUCAUUCACUAUGGGUUGGAGUAGGGAAGCCUCCAAAACCCGGAACCUAAAUCUUCUGAAUGCUUUACAAAUAAAUCUUUACAGAGUUUCCAUAUGACAUUUAAAUUCCACUGGAACAGUGAUUAAGGACAUGCAAGAGAAAGAGGCUGCCAUCAUGAUAAUGGGUCCUACUGUGCUAGCUCACUUUUAUAACCUCAAUUUGGAAUGAUUUUGGUUGAAAGAAAAGAAAUAGCAUAGAAGAGGAGAAAGUUGGUGCAGCCUUAGAUUCCCAACUCCAGAGCACAAACCAGUCUAGGUUCUUCUAAACACAAUCACCUCCUGUUAUGUCACAUUGUCUUUAGAAUCUAAAACUACUCAGUACAACACGGGCUUCAUUCAUUUAGAAACUAUAGCCUUCAACACCAAGCUGGCUCAAAGCAAAAUAAAUGUUCAAACUAAUUGAUAAGCCAUCCUUGGGUGGUGUUCUAAGUUCCAAACUUGAGAAAACAUUCACUCAACCAGGAAAUGAUUCCAUAAUAACAGAAGCACCCACAGGUGCAGAAAAUGAAGCCCAGAGCAAAGCAGUGAUGGCCAUAUCAAAGGAUUGUCAAUGCACUACAGAACAAUAAUGCCACUGACAGAACAGUCCUUAUUAAGUUUAUAAAAACACUGGACUCACCUUCAGUGGGACAGUGCCCUUUUAACAUUUAUAAUUUAGUUUCUGUCACUGAUAAUAAAAUCUCAGACUGCGUAUGCCAGUUCAAGUAGUAAGAGAAGAAUAGGGGGAAAAACAUAAAUAUAUAGCUUAUUAGGGUUUCUUGAUUUUAAGGCAAAAAUUAAAUAGCAUCAAGGCCAUUGUGAAAACUACCAACUAAAUUUUAGAGCAAUUGUAUUGUUCUAAAAUUUUAGAAGAAAGAAAGAAAGAAAGAAG
Phyllostomus discolor (pale spear-nosed bat) is the source of this 1813-nucleotide long non-coding RNA. RefSeq lists it as uncharacterized. Lineage: Eukaryota; Metazoa; Chordata; Mammalia; Chiroptera; Phyllostomidae. The transcript is spliced from 2 exons. The record is from RefSeq and is a predicted model, not a curated record.